GGGACACCAAUACCAAGGGUGCAAGGGAGCCUAGGUAGGCCUCUGUUGCUAAGGUCGCUUAAUCACUGUUGCUAAGCAAUCAGAGGAAGGAAUGUUGACCACCCCACCUGGAACUCAGGAGAGGCCCUUCACAAAGCAGCAGGAGAAGCUGAAUGGAGGAGAGCAUGGCGGUAAGUUUGCUUGUGUCCUCAUUAUUUAAUUUACACAAUGUGCUGCCUUUAAAGAUUAAAACAAAACUGGCUGGGUUUGGUAGGUUUUACUGAAAAGUAACUCACUUUGAAAAUAAAUGAGGGUUUUCCUCAGAAAGAAAUGGAAUAUUACAGUCCCCCACCUACUGAGCUUCCAUGUUCCCCACACAGCCACUACUGGUCUGUUUGUCUUAACUGGGAUGCUAUUUGUUAAUAUGCAGUAACCAUAAAGCAAAAAUAUAAAAUACAAAAUACAAAAUGUCUCCACAAAUGCAGCCACAAAAUAUCUGGACAUCGCAAAGCUGCCACAAGUUAAAAUGACUGUAUUUGAACACAAUAAUUUAUCUUUGUUUAUCAAGGUUGACAAAGUGUUUCCAAUAUAUAUUUCUAAGAGUUGUGAAACCGCACAUAGGUAAAGGGGACCCCUGACCAUUAGGUCCAGUCGCAGACGACUCUGGGGUUGUGGCGCUCAUCUCGCUUUACUAGCCGAGGGAGCACAGCUUCCGUGUCAUGUGGCCAGCAUGACUAAGCCGCUUCUGGCGAACCAGAGCAGCGCACGGAAACACCGUUUACCUUCCCGCAGGAGCGGUAACUAUUUAUCUACUUGCACUUUGACGUGCUUUCGAACUGCUAGGUUGGCAGGAGCAGGACCGAACAACAGGAGCUCACCCCGUCGCGGGGAUUCGAACCGCCAACCUUCUGAUCGGCAAGCCCUAGGCUCUGUGGUUUAACCCACAGCGCCACCCGCGUCCCCGUUGCUUAUUGUAUAUUCGUUGCUUAUUGUAUAUUUGUAUCUUGAUUUUCCUCCCAGACCUCAAGGUUGUGUAUAUUGUUAUCUCCACUCCCCCAUUUUGUCUUCACAACUGUGGGUUAGUAGUUCAGACACCAAAGCUGUGAAACUGAACAUACUUUUUUGCUUGUUGUUAUUUAUCAGCAUUGGAAAACUUUUUGUUUCUUUCUUUGGGUAUUUUGCUGUAAAUAUCAGGACUAAGAAACGUUGCAGGUAAAGCAAGGAGGCUGCUCUUCUGGCUUACCUUACAUGAUCUGUGAAUGACAUUACAUAAGAAUAUAAGAAAACUCUGGUGGACCAGGCCAAUGGCCCAUUUAGUCAAGCUUCCUGUUCUCACAUUGGCCAACCAAAUGCCUGAGAAGCCUGUAAGCUGGACCUGAAAGCAGUAACACCCUCCCCUCCUGUAGUUUCUAGCAACUGGUUUUCAGAAGUAUACCUCCUCUGAUGGUGGGAGCAGAGUACAGCCUUCAUGGCUCGUAGCCUCUGAUAGGCUUUUCCUCCACAAAUUUGUCUAAUCCUCCUUUAAAGACAUCUAAGUUGGACUGAAACAGACCCCUGUUUGAAACACUGGAAAGCUGCUGCCUGCCAGGCAUUGAGUUAGAUGAACCAAUGGUCUGGGUCAGUACUAGGCAGCAGCUUAUGUUCCGGUAUUUGUUCAAAAGGAGCUCCCAAAUAAUUGUUUUAAGAACACAAGAAGAGCCUGCUGGAUCAGGCCAACGGCUCAUUUAGUCCAGCAUCCUUGUUCUCAUAGAGGCCAGCCAAAUGUCUGUGGGAAGCACAAGAUUUAGUACAAUGCUGCUAAAAGGCCACUCAGUUCCAUAACACAUGGUAGCAGCCUGUUGAUGGGCACUUCCCCCUAACACAUACACACCUGAACCAAAAGAGAUCAUAAACGAACCCAAGUUGGAAAAAGUUAGAUGCUUCCAUACAAAAUAACACAGUUCCCAUCUUAAGAUAAGAAUGUAAGUGCAUGGAAGCCUCUGAACCCACAAGAACUCUCUACAUAAGAGUGAUGUUCUUGAUAGAUGGCUACUUCCUUCCCAUCAGUGGAAACUGACAGCUGCAGCUAUAACCUUUUCAGCACUCUUCUUUCAGUGGGAAACGGGGGACCUUCUCUCUCUCUCUCUCUCUCUCUCUCUCUCUCUCUCUCUCUCUCUGAAUUAAGGAGCUAUUCAAGAUUAGGAGGCUUUGUGGGCAAAAUGGGGCAGUGGCUUGGGGAGCAUUCUUUUGGGGGGAUCACACAUGGGGAGAAAAGGGGGGAACCAUCUAAUUCUCUACUCUGACGUUGAUCGGCACCUGCCAAACCUUUUUCCAUGCUUUUAUUAUUUUUAAGGAGAAUGAUCUUGUAAUAAGGGGGUGGGGGGCUGGAGGGUUACAUCUGGAGAGAGUUAAAUGCUGUGGCUUUGAGACAGCUGGAAUGCCGGCAACACGGAAGCUCCUUGUAUACAGCGAUGUUGUUUUCUUCGGGGAGAUUGCAGAAAGGAGCUGCUUCAUUUCAGUGAAGCCAGAUCUCGUGGAAAUUCCAUUGGCGAGUAUGUGAGAGCGUGGCAGAAUACAAAUCUGCUUUCUUUGGUCCCCUGGUGCAUCUUCUUUGAGUUCCAGUUCUGCCACGUGCCACUGCUAUGUUGCCCAUGAAGAACAGAUGCAAGGGUGGGGGUGGGGAUAUGGCAUUAAACAAUCCAACUGAUUUUAAUUAGGCUGAAAUAAUAAACUAUCAUCCUCCGAAUCAAGAAUGAUGGAUACACUCAAGCUGCGUGGAGAAAGUUGUCUUCAGCCUGCUUGAAAGAGCCAUGUUAGAAUGGUCUCCUUACCCUCCCCCAAAACAAUCACCUUUCCUACAUACCUAAGGGAUCCCAAUAAGUGUGUGUGUGUGUGUGUGUGUGUGUGUGUGUGUGAUCAUUUUCCUCCAAGGAGCUCAAGGGUAUACAGGGUUCUCCUCUCUGCAUUUUAUCCUCACAACAACCCUGUGAAGUAGAUUAGGUUUUUGAAAUACAGUGACUGGCCCAAAGUCACCUCAUGUGGGGCUUUGAACUCUGGUCUCUCAGCUCCUAGUCCAAAACUCUAACCAUUACACUGAACUGUGUAGGAACAGCAGCAGUGCAUGCAUGUGGCGGUGUCUUGCCAGUGGUGGUGCUGUGCUCAUUGGGAAGGAAAUGAAGCAGCAGCAUGGUGUGAGGGACUGUGGGGUGUUUGCAGCCCAAUAAGUGCAAAUGCCUGUGGGCUGCUACCCUGAAGCUCCCCCAACUUCACUGUUGCUGCAUCCCCAUAUCCCAGCCCCAUUCUGAUUAGCACAGCACCACCGUCAGAGGUGUGGCACUGUCUCCUCCUCUCCCUCCACACAAAAAAGCCUAAGAGAAAAAAUCUUAACUGGGCAGGGGGAAAUCCCAAAAUGUCCCAGUGAGGACUGAGCAUGCAAAGUGAGCAAUGACUGCUGAGCAUCUGUUCCAGAGGAACAAAAACUUAGAGAUAGGGCAAACUGAAUGGAGUAUCCUAGUGUUAUGUACUGAGCUGAAUAGGAUCCAAAAUGCAGCAGUCUGAUUGGUCCUAGAAUAACAGGAUUCAGAAUGUAGCAGUCUGAUUGGUCCUAGAACAAUAGGAUUCAGAAUGCAUCAGUCUGAUUGGUCCACAGGAGCCACUCAAUCCAGCUCCAGGUGGAAGUGAAUCCGCAACCUGAUUGGCCUACAGGAGAAUCCUGGAAUUAGCCAAUCACGUGGGGCCCAUUAUGUAAAUAAUGUAUAUAAAGCAGACAUUCUGGGGGAACUUCCAUUCCUCCUCACCACUAUGAGGUGCCUGGCAAGAACCUUGAAUGGGAAUAGUCCACACUGUAAUGUUUUGUUCCCUGCGUGUGGGCCUUUACGUGGCUCAAAUGGCAAAAACAUCCUGUCCAAAAAAGGACUUCCAUGUUUAUCUCUGAGUAUAAGAUACUGAAAAUAUGUGACGGGAGACGGGGAUUGCUUUGAUUAGGAAUGAGAGAGAAAGUUCACAUUUAAAGGCAUACAUAGCUAAUUCACACUAUACAAAGCAGUAGACAAAGUGAAAUACAGUACAAAUACACACUUCUCAGCAUUCUUCAAAUGCACUUCUCCUGCAAUGUAGUGUGUAAGUACAGAAAUGCACAUACUAGUGCCAGGUUUGUGUACAUACGCAUAUAUUAGUGAAAAUGGCUAACUAAAGUGCCUUAGGGUAGGGCAAGCUGCAUACCAAAAUGUGUGUAUCAGGAUAAAUUUGCACUAAAAUGCUAGUAGAUUUUCAUGAAACAGUUGUAGAAAUGUAGAAAACUGGGAAAAAAAGACUAGGCAAAUGAGAAACUGAGAGAACUGAAACUGAGAAAAACUGAGAGAACUGGGAGCAGAGCACAGCCUUUGUGGCUCGUAGCCUCUGUGAUGCCCUGCUUAUAUGCACCCUUAGACAUCUGGAUGGCUGGUGUUGGAAACAGGACAAUUUGCUAGAUAAACCCUUGAUCUGUUUCAGCAAGGAGCAUCUCGAUUAGGCUCCAUCCUCUCUCCACCACUCAGAAAUCUGGAAACAUCAAUAACUAGCAAAACCAAAGGAGAAAAGCAACCCCAAAAGUGACCUAAAUUGAAAAUCACAUUUUGGAGACGGAGUGGACGCACAGAGACCGCCUGCGUGAUAACCAUCGUCUCAGGAACACACAAACUCGCAAAACAUUAAAGCCCUGGCAAGUGUUUUAAGUGGUCUGCUCAAUAAAUGUGAACAUCCUGGCCCACAAUUAUUUCCAUAGGAAAAUAUUAUUUGGCCAGAGGGAGGCGGUGGGGGAAACAGCCCUCAGGGAUAAAUAUUGUUGCUUUGGAACAGGCCAGAAGGUAAUCAGAUAUUUUAUCAGGAGACAAGAAGAUGGCAAAAGUUCACCCUCCCAGAUGCUUGUAGGAAAGGGAUUGUGCUUGCUAAAUAAUCCCAAAUGGCUCCAGCAAGACACAUUCCAUAGGGUGGGAGUGGGGAACCCCAGGCCUGGGGAGCAAAUGCUGCCCCCCAGGCCUCUCUGUCUGGACUUCAGGACUCCCCUGGGCCAUACCGCUCACCAGCUCUGCUCAGUCUCCUCUCCCGGGUCUUUGGCUGGCUGAGGUGUGUCCCUGAAUUCUAAUAAAGCCUCUUGCUUGCGUGGAUGGGAGACAGAUCUACAAGUAUAAACAAUUUUACGAAGCUAGGCUUCCAUUCCCCAUCCACUGCUGGAAUGCAGCCCCCAGAAGGUUGCUCAUUAGGGAAUGUGGCUAUUGGGCUGUAGAAAAAGCUCUCCAUCCCUGCCCUAUAGAAAUAUGGAAAUCAUUGAACCUCACAUUUAUUUAUUUAUUUAAGCUUUUCGAAAUAGAAGCAUACAGGUUCCAUGUGGAAUUCUUUGCAUGCAGGUCAACAGAGAGGCCUCAUCCUCAAUGCAGGGCGCAGCUGAGUUUAUCUGAGCUAAACGAAGCUUCCCACGGAGGCCGCAUCAUCCAGGAGCAAAAGAUAGCCUGAAAUGCAUUUUCCUGCUGCUCUGCUGGCAUUAUCCCUGAUGGUGCAGAUAGGAAAAUUGGAAACCCUUGUGCGUUGUUUUUUUCCGGAGGCAGUGUUAGUAAAUUUCAAAAAUCCCACUUGUGGAGAGAUCCGUGACUUGGAGCAUGGGAGGCAGAUUGAGAGUAUAUGGGUGAAAAUUGUAGGAGGGGGAAACAACGGUAACCUUACUGUGGGUGUCUGCUAUAGACCCCCAAGCCAGACUGAAGACUUGGAUGGUGCCUUCCUAGAGCAGAUUACCAAACAAUUAAAAAGGAGGGAUUUAAUAGUCAUGAGAGACUUCAGGUACCCUGAUAUCUGUUGCAACUCUGCCAAGAAUGUAAGGUCCAACAAAUUCCUCAGUUGCCUCACUGACUAUUUCAUUUCCCAGAAUUUGGAAGAAGCAACAAGGGGGUCAUCUCUCUGGGACAUGGUCCUCACUAAUGAGAGGAACUGAUUGACAAAGUGAAAGUACUGGGAACCUUGGGACGAAGCAAUUUUGCUCUCUUGGAUUUUGUUAUACAGAGGCAAGGGGAAGCUGAGUGUAGUCAGACAUGCACACUGGACUUUAAGAAAUUAUUUCAAAAAAAGUUUAAGGAACUACUGGAUGAGAUCCCAUGGUCAGAAAUACUCAAAGAGAAGGGAUGGAGUCUUCUUAAAGGUGAAAUAUUGAAGGCACAAAGGCAGGCAAUCCCAAGAAGAAAGAAAAGUGGGAAGCGCCUAAAGAAACUGGUGUGGCUACAUAAGGAGCUUACAGACGAGCUGAGAUGUAAAAAUGUCAUGUAUAAGAAACGGAAGUAUAUACACAAGCAGCCAACACUUGCAAGAAGAAGGGUUCCCUUGCAGCUCUGCAAUUCUAUGAUUCUUUGUUAGUCUGCUAUAUAUCUCUCUGAACACAGCUGUACCCAGGAAGAAGGCUCUACUCAGGAGGAGGGGAAAGACCCACCUUCAACCAAUUACCCAUCAGAAGACCAGGUAGAGGAGGAGCUGCUUUAGCCUUACAGUCUCAUGUAGACCUUUUAUUGGGGCUGGAUCUAUACAGGAUUAAAAAAAAAAACACUACAGAAAAAAAACACUAUAAAAGCUCUUAAUGGAAAAUCCCAUUGGCUCUACAGUGCCAUCUGGCGUCGCAUGAUUAUAACGCAGUUAUAAUGAUAUAAUUGAGGAGUGUGGAUGAGUCUCGGGUUAACAGCUCUCCUCCAACAGCCAUUAAAAGUUGGGGUAUGUAUGUAUGUAUGUAUGAGUAAAUAAAUAAAGAACAUUGUUAUUUUAAAAAACAAUACUUUGAGUUCCAGACCAGGGUGGCACAGACGUGCCUUUCCAGGUUCAGCCUGAAGGCAUGCAUGCUGAUAUACAUUUCCAAAGUCCUCAUCCACCUGUGUCAACGUACUGGACUUCAACCAUUGCCUGUUGAAGUCUGGCUAUUGUCCUUCCCCAAAUCUGCAAAGCCUGGCUCCAUCAUCUGUUCAUCAAAAUCCAUCUUUUCCAGAGUUGGGCAGAAUCCCUUUUCCGUAACUGAACCAUCCAUAGAUCCUGGCUGAUGUCCUGAAGUAGCUGGAAAGCUGCAUUAGGAUAUCCAAAGAUUCAUCCUGGCCUGGAAAGACAGGAAGCAGUCUGGAAAGGAGAACUUGUACGGGGUUUGGCUUUAUCUUUGCAUGGUGUUCCAGGUAAUUAAACUCUCCUGCCUCUUCAGUGUUUCCGAGUUCAGCAGGACACAGCGCAGCAGGAGAAAUGGAUGGUUUUAAGACAGUAUGAUAGAUAGCUGCUUUUUCUAACCAUUUUAUUAAUAUCGUAGUAAUAAUAAAAAUAAUAAUAAUAAUAAUAAUAAUAAUAAAAUUUUAUUUACACCCUGCCCUUCCCAGUUCAGGGCGGCUAACAACAAAUUUAAAACACUUAAUUAUAAAAGCAGCAUAAAAUACAGUAUAAAAACAUGAAUAACAAUAAAAAUCAAAAUUCAAAAAUCAAUUUAGGGGAAAUAAGCAUUAGAUAAUCCCCAGGGCUAGCUGGCUGAAUUGGUCCUACUUGGGCCAGUGAGGAGGCCAGGGGAGAAUUAGCUGUGGGGUCUCAGAGCGGGUGAUCUUCAUAAAUGGGGAGGGGGAGGGAAGAGAAGGGAAAUAAAAGAUCAGGCUGAAUUCAAAUUAAAGGCCAGGCGGAAUAGCUCUGUCUUACAGGCCCGACAGAAGGAGGUUAAAUCCUGAAGGGCCCUAGUCUCAUGGGACAGAGCAUUCCACCAGGUCGGCGCCAUCACUGAAAAGGUCGGAGCCAUCACUGGUGGAGGAUAGUCUGACUUCCUUAGGGCCCGGGACCUCUAAACUAUGGUUAUUCAUGGACCUUAAGGUCCUCUGCGGGACAUACCAGGAGAGGCGGUCCCAUAGAUACGAGGGCCCUAAGCCACAAAGGGCUUUAAAGGUCAAGACCAGCGCCUUGAUCCUGACCCUAUACUCCACUGUGAGCCAGUGCAACUGGUAAAGCACUGGGUGAAUAUGCUCCCAUGGCAGGGACCCCAUGAGGAGCCUCUCUGCAGCAUUCUGCACCCGCUAGAGUUUGUGGGACAGUUUCAAGGGCAGCCCUGCGUAGAGCAAAUUACAGUAGUCAAGCCUGGAGGUGACCCGUUGCAUGGAUUACUGUGACCAGUUCGGGGCGGGAAAGGUAAGGGACCAACUGCUUAAUGCUGCAAAGAUGGAAAAAUGUCGCCUUAGCUGUUCUGUAACCUGCUGUAACCAUUAUAUCAUCUAUGAUGACAACAUAGUAGUAGACCCUGAUGGAAUUCAUACAUAAUCAUCUUUGAUUAUGUAAAAAGAGAAUAUCUACAGAGAAUAUAUUGUUGCAUUGUGUGUGUGUGUGUGUGUGUGUGUGUGCGCGUGUGCGCGCACACACGCGCACGCACGCACACGUGCAGAUAUUUAUUUUUCUUACCACCUGUGAUUCCUACUACUAGUAUGAUGGUAACAAGAUGCGGUAUGAGUUAGGGAUAGGGAGAAAUUUGAUCCCGUUCACAUUUAAAGGAGAACGUAACCUAUCUCACACUUUCUGAAAAAAAUGCACACUGAGGGCUGUCCUUCAAAACUCACUCAUCUGAAUUUUGCAAUGCGAUUCUCCAGCCAAUAUGUGCAAAACUGGGGUAAAGUAUGCAUAUAAGUGCAUAUGUUAGUGAAAAUAAGAUGCAAAAUGCAUUAUACUGAUGAAAAUUUAUUUGCAAAAAAGUGUAUACAGUGGUACCUCGGGUUACAUACGCUUCAGGUUACAGACGCUUCAGGUUACAGACUCCGCUAACCCAGAAAUAGUGCUUCAGGUUAAGAACUUUGCUUCAGGAUGAGAACAGAAAUCGUGCUCUGGUGGCGCAGUGGCAGCAGGAGGCCCCAUUAGCUAAAGUGGUGCUUCAGGUUAAGAAAAGUUUCAGGUUAAGAACGGACCUCCGGAACGAAUUAAGUACUUAACCCAAGGUACCACUGUAUUAGGGAAGCAGUGCACUAAAAUGCUUAUGAUUUUUCAGGAGGUUUUUUUAAAUAAAAAAAAUCAUGAUAUGAUAUGCAAAUGGCUUUGGGGGUAUUGGUUUGUUUUUUUUCUUUUUUAUUAUGUAUUUUGUGUGCUCAUUUUGCAUUUUUAUGUUGUGAACCACCCUAUGAUCUUCAGGUGAAGGGCAGUGUACAAAUUAAAUAAAUAAUAAUAAUAAAUGCAUUACAUUAAGCAAAAGUGCUUUCAACAUGCAUAUAUUAAAGCAAAAAAUGUGUAUGAAAGUGGCAUAUAUUAGGAUAAAUGUGCUUGAAAAUGCAUAUUAAUAUUUGACACUGGUGCUUUUUAAAAAAAAAAUCAAACUAAUUCAGAAAUGGAGUGAUCUGAAGAAAAAGUUGGAAAAAUGAGAAGACACGAAAGCAUUAAUUGAUUGAUUUGACCAUCCUUGUUUUGUACCUAGUCAUUUCCUGUGAGGCCAGCAAAUCUCUAGAAGGAGCACAGUAAACAUCCAAUACAGAUUAGUAUCCUCAGCAAUGCACAAGGGAAGACCCCGACUCCCCCAGGGAGGAAUCUAUUUUCACAGCAGAAUGGAGUGACUUUGUAGGAUGGUUUCCUGUUGAGUUCAUAGUCUGUGCAGGGUGUUGGGGCACUGAACGUGCCUGCAAGGAAGUUAGCUCUGCAGCUUUGCUUUUAGUUUUGACCAUAAAUGUCUCUCCAAACCUGGACAAAAGUAAAAGAAAAAAAUGUGUCAUGAAAAAUGAGGGAAGAUAAGGUUUUUUUAAAAAAAUUAUUUAUUUCCAAAAGAUGGGAGAAAUACUCCCUCCUGCAAAGUGUCAGCAGCGGGACAUCUGCAUUAUGUUGGUUUCUUACAACAAUCUAUUCUAACAUCCAUGUGAGACAAUUAAAGGUAAUAAAUCAUAAAGCCUUUCUUGGUUUUAAAGAUCCCAGAUGCUCUGAAAGACAUAAAAAUCUAGAUGUCUCAUCCCACCUUAGAUUUUGUGUCAGCACUUGGCAGAUUUAAGUUUGAAAAGAUAGCAGAGGUCCUUCAAAUGCCAACAGAGCAGGUUUUCUCAGAUUAGUCAUAAUACCAGUGGAAAUGUGUUUUUUUUGGGGGGGGCAGUUGAAGGAUAGGCAUGUAUAUAACAUUUACGGUAUUCUUGACUGAUGAACUCUUUUAUGCAUACAUUUGCCUAAUAAAGAAAUCCUCUUUUUUCAAAAAUCAAAUCGUAAAUUGCAAGAUAGCUGUAUAGAAAAGGCGUAAGGAAAGUCAGAAUUGCUGGUUAAUGUUUAUUCAUUCCUUCUCUAGGACAUGUUUCAUAAAAGACUGCAUCUGUACUGGAAGCAGCUUACAGUAAAAUAUCACACACAAUCUCACAUACCCAAAUAAAGUGCAUUUUAAAAUUAUGAAAGGCAAAUGAACGAUUAAAUGUUUCUGCACUUCCUGUAUGCAUUCUAUAAAUACCCUCGUAGAAUUGCAGAGUUGGAAGGGACCCUGAGGGUCAUUUAAUCCAAUCCUCGGCAAUGCAGGGAUCUCAAAGCAUUCGUAACAAAUGGCCAUCCAACCUCUACUUAAAAGCCUCCAAGUUAGGAAAGUCCACCACCUCUCGUGGGUCUCUGUUGUGGUCAAACAGUUCUUACUGUCAAAAAGUUGUUCCUGAUGUUUACACAGAAAUAGUACCUCGGGUUAAGAACUUUGCUUCAGGAUGAGAACAGAAAUCGCGCGGCAGUGGCACAGUGGCAGCGGGAGGCCCCAUUAGCUAAAGUGGUGCUUCAGGUUAAGAACAGUUUCAGGUUAAGAACAGACCUCCAGAACGAAUUAAGUUCUUAACCAGAGGUACAACUGUAGUUGGAAUUUCUUUUAUUGUAACUUGAAUCCAUUGGUUUGGGUUCUAGCCUCUGGAGCAGGAGAAAACAAGCUUGCUCCAUCCUCCGUGUGACAGCCCUUUAGAUAUUAGAAGAUGGCUAUCAUAUCUCCUCUCAGUCUCCUCCUUUCCAGGCUAAAUAUACCCAGCUCCUUCAACUGUUCCUCAUAAGGUUUGGUUUCCACACCCUUGAUUAUUUUGGUCGCCCUCCACUGCACACAUUCCAGCUGGCCAAUAUCCUUCUUAAAUUGGGCGCAGCUCAUCAGGCCUAGAGAUUUGAAUUCAUUUCAAGUAGUUUAGUGUUCCAGGAAUGGAUUCCAGUGCUUCCAGACCCCAAUUCCACUGAGGGAAAUGGAUUUCAGUGGGGAAGGCCACUUGCUUAAUGUUGGCUAUUGUCUAAUUGAAUUUACAGUGGUACCUCGGGUUAAGAACUUAAUUCAUUCCUGAGGUCUGUUCUUAACCUGAAACUGUUCUUAGCCUGAGGUACCACUUUAGCUAAUGGGGCUCCCACUGCCGCCGCACCGCAUCCUGUUCUCAUCCUGAAGCAAAGUUCUUAACCCGAGGUACUAUUUCUGGGUUAGCGGAGUCUGUAACCUGAAGCGUCUGUAACCUAAAGCAUAUGUAACCUGAGGUACUACUGUACUUAGCUUAUACAUAGGAUUGUGUUGUAAUUUAUUGUAUUUUUAAAAUGUAGAUUUGUGGAACUCGCCAGUAGUGGCUAGAAUAGUGGACUAGGACCUGGGAGACCAGGGUUCAAAUCUCCACUCCACCUUGGGCCAGCCACUCAACCUCACAGGGUUGUUGGGGGAAGGCUGCACUAGGCUGCAUCCUUGGCGAGUUGGCAACUACUUUAUCACUGUGGCCCUACUUAAACUUGCAGAUGCAGUCGCAGAGAUGGUCGCCUGCAUUUACAGCUGAGUUCCCACAAGCUUUCCUCCAUACCUCUGUCCACCUAUGUGCAUGAGAGUGCACUGAGGAAUUUGGCUGUGCAAAACAGCUCCUUUUGCCUCACAGGGCAGAGGGGCCCCCAAAGCCCUCCAGGAAGCAUAUCUUAGAUGCAUGUUUGAGAACAUCAAGCGGGAACUGAUUGUAAGCCCUGGAGCACAAAACCUAUUGAUUUAGCCACAUGGGGUUUCUGAACCAAAUUGUUCCCAAAUGCUGAUCUUUCUUCCACCCACUCAUAAAGAGUUAAAGACAUUUCCCACAUGUUAGAGGGAACUCAAGGACAGAGAGAGAGAGAGAGAGAGAGAGAGAGAGAGAGACCCUCUCAGAGCUCUUCAGAAAUGUUUUCUCCCUUGGAAAAUUCUAGUAAACAAAAUAAUUGCAAUAAUAAAAGAAAUAUUCUCUUCAUUCUCCUUUUGAUGGGAGAUGGAGCUUCGUGAUAUAAAUGUGAGUUGCAUAUAAUAUGCCAUUAAAACUGUUUUACAUUCUCUUGCAAGUUCCAGCAAAUAUGUCCACUUUACACACAAAGAGAGGAAUUUCUGAGGCUUGCAUUGUUGACUCUUUCCAUAUGGAAUAUGUAUAAAUGUGUAAAGAAACCCAUAUAUGCUUCAUUUUGACUUGGGACACAAGAAACAACUCACUAUUGAGCUUACAGGAGAUGGAUGUUGAUGUGUUCCGUGCAGAUUAUUAGUGGUCUUUGGCUCUGAAACAACCUCAGCUUAGGUCAUAGCCAAGGACAAAAAUAGCUCAUAAAAUAUGGCAUGCCCUCACCAGGUCCAUUUAUCUUCUGAGCAUCAGGUUGCUGCAUUUACUGUAGCAUAAAUGCCUGGUUUCAAAGAUGAGUGAGGAAGAAAUGCUCAUAGUGAAAUCAAUACGUAUUUGCAAAUAAAAAGAGAAAAGGUCUUGAUAAAUUUGCCAGUGUGAACUAGAAACUCAAUUUGCAGUGGAUGUAAGCCUCUUUUUUCCUCCCACUGUUGGAUGAAUUUGUGGGGGAAGGAAUCAGGGUAGUUGCUGCUGCUGCUCCCACUCCUGGCCUCCAUGAGCUCAGCUGAUGUUUUACAGUGCUUGCACAUGUACAACAGCAUGCAAAUGGAGAGCGCUGUAGGGACAAGUGAAGAGAGAAAACCUGUUUCCAGUUUUAGGAGAGCCAGUGUGGUGUAGUGGUUAAGAGCAGUAGAUUAGUAAUCUGGGGAACCGGGUUCGCGUCUCUGCUCCUCCACAUGCAGCUGCUGGGUGACCUUGGGCCAGUCACACUUCUCUGGAGUCUCUCAGCCCCACUCACCUCCCAGAGUGUUUGUUGUGGGGAAGGAAGGGAAAGGAGAAUGUUAGCCGCUUUGAGACACCUUCGGGUAGUGAUAAAGCGGGAUAUCAAAUCCAAACUCUUCUCUUCUUCUUCUUCUUCUUCUUCUUCUUCUUCUGGGCAACUUGUACUCAUGCAUACAACUCAUUCAAACCUUCAAGUGACUUCAUGGAAACCAGGAGCCAGUGGCCCAUCUAGGCCAGCAUCCUGUUCUGACAGUGACUGUGGGAAACCUGCAACAGGACCCAAGUACAAGAGCAUACCCCGCACAUGUCCCGGGGGGGGGAUGGGACAUCCUGUUUUCUCAUGCGAGGGCACAGUGGCCAUUUUGUAGGCCGCCACUGCUUCCUACAGGAGUGAGUUCCACAGCUGAACUAUGUGCUGAGUGAAUGUCCACAAGAUCCAGUUUCAUGAGGGAAGGAGAAAAACUUUUCUCUGGACACUUUCUCUGUGCCAUGCAUAAUUUUUACAAACUUCUAUUUUGCCCCCAAUCAGUCCUGACUGCAGCAAUUCACCCAAAGUGAAGCUUUCAUCUCCAACUGAUUUAAACAGGAGAGACUGGUGGGAAUUUGGCUGGAUUGUGCCCUAUCUCAUCAGGUGCCCGGGCUGCACCUCUUGAAGCAUAAACUCUUGUGAUUCACCGCAGGACAAACAAUGUGAGAGCCAUGUGUAUGCUGCUACCUGGUGGCCCGGCAAAAGCAGCUCAAAUGUUGCUUUCUAGGUUGCCUUUUGUCCCUGUUCUCCCGCCUGAUUAUCUUCAGCACUAUUCCCUUUGAGACAAAGAUCACAGCUUCUUAUGUUUCUGCGUGGUUCUUAGUACAAUGGGACUUGGUCUUGAUUACAGUCUGCAGCAGGGUCAAGAAUAUAAAGGCACAAUGCAAAACAGGCACAAUAGCUGGAGUCUAGGGCCCACUGAGAAGAUGGCUUGUAAAGUCUAAGAUCUGAGCCUCUGAGAAUGAUUUUUAUGUCCUCAAUUACAAGAAGAGAAGAGUUGUUAUUCAAAGCUGUUGCCCCGGAGGACAGGAAAACAAAGAGGAAGGUAUGUGUGGGACCUGCUGACCUCAAUCAAUUGCCUGCUUUCUGGGAUAGCAGCAGCAUCCCUGAAAUCGAAACCCACCCUCCAAAAUCCAACUGACUUCCUGUCACCAGAACCUGGGGCAGAAGGUCAAGAUGAGAGGUGCGGAGUCAUGAGAAUGUUACCCAAAGACACCUCCUUAAAUUAAAAUAAGAAAAAAGAAAUCCACAGGAUGUGUUUUCUUUGCUAGGUUAUUUACAGAGCAAAAAGAUAACAUGGCGGCGAAUGGGUUUCGAGCUUUUCCAAAGCGUUUUUAAUCUAUUAAAGGAGCUGAAAUACUCUUAUCCGAAAGCAAUCUGAGCAGCCUCUACUUUCUGUGUUUUGUACUGUAGCAUAGCGAAGAGGGAACAGCAGGGAGCUCAGCUCCAGGGCUGUCUCUAGAACAGAGAAAUGGUGAUGUCAUCUGCCAGAGCACCACGGCAAUUGAUAGAACCUCCUUGCUCUGCUGGAGAUAACGAGGCUUUCAAGUUUGUGGCAGAUGAGCAUUGGGUGAAUGUGGAGAGUACGGAAAUUAAACAAGAAGACACUGGAUAGCUCUUUCUGUUUCUUAGAUGGGGUUCCUGCUUCACUGUUUCGCUCUUCACUGUUAGAAAUGCUAACAAUCUUGCAUAGAAAGACCAACUGAAAGACUAAAGAUUGCAUUUCAGCUGGCUUGAGAUCUUUUGUUAAAUCUCUUUUACAUGGUGAAUUUAUUCUAUGAACAUCUAUUCAGUGAAAGUCUUUGAUCCUAAUAAAUUUGAAAUUGUGUCCUGCACUGGGGCAGGGGCAGGAUGUAUGUGACUAUAGAUUAACACAGCCACUUGCAUUUUUUUUACUCUGAGAGGGGCUUGUCAGGAUGAAUUCCUGCACUUCAAAAUUUACCACUACACUACUCAUUCUGUAAUAUCCGUACAUAAGCUUGACGUUACGGGAAGUAAUUGUUUAUUCUAAUUCAGAUCCCCAAACACCCUGUUGAACAUUGUAGCUGCCAUGCUAGGCACACUUAGCUGGUAACAAGUUCAUUCUGAGUAGACAUCUGAGUAGCUUUUGAGUAGCCAUGCAUAGGGAUACACUGUAAAUUAACAUGCCUUGAAUUAGCUAGAGGAAGCUACAUUUUCACCUCACCCAUUCAUAAGCUAAACCAGGCUGAAAGCCCAUUUAUACACUUUUUUUACUAGAUAGGUGCUUAAAAUAAAUAAAAUUCUAGAUGUUUGGCACAAGCUUUUGCCUGAUGAGGUGCCUGAUAUAGCUCAAUACCUUUUGAACUGAAACAAGAGUUGGUGCUAUCAAAACAAUCUCUGCCUGCUACCCGUUUUUCUCCAGAAUAAGAAUAUGCAUUCUCCUUCACAAGGAAAAGGGACGCGGGUGGCGCUGUGGUUUAAACCACAGAGCCUAGGACUUGCCAAUCAAAAGGUCGGCGGUUCGAAUCCCCGUGACGGGGUGAGCUCCCGUUGCUCGGUCCCAGCUCCUGCCCACCUAGCAGUUUGAAAGCACAUCAAAAUGCAAGUAGAUAAAUAGGUACCGCUCCGGUGGGAGGGUAAACGGCAUUUCCGUGUGCUGCUCUGGUUCACCAGAAGCGGCUUAGUCAUGCUGGCCACAUGACCUGGAAGCUGUACGCCGGCUCCCUUGGCCAAUAAAGCGAGAUGAACGCCGCAACCCCAGAGUUGGUCAUGACUGGACCUAAUAGUCAGGGGUCCCUUUACCUUUACCUUCACAAGGAAAAGGUCUUUUGCUUAAUUCAAAUACACUUAAUUUGUAUGACAAAAUCAGCAUGCAUUACCAAUCUCUGAGGUAAGGACAAAUCCCAAAUGUUUUUCCUGGGCUGUGAAGAGUGGGAGAUGUUAUCCUACCCAUUAAAGAUUCGGAUAUUAACCUGAAAACUGCAAUCUUGGUCGUAGUCUACCAGGUUCAAAUCUGCCUCAUACUAAAGAUCUGCCUCAUGCUAAGACAGACCAUUGGUCAACCUAGUUUAAAGGUAAAAGGUAAUGGUACCCCUGCCCGUACAGGCCAGUCGUGUCUGACUCUAGGGUUGUGCGCCCAUCUCACUUAAGAGGCCGGGGGCCAGCGCUAUCCGGAGACACUUCCGGGUCACGUGGCCAGCGUGACGAAGCUGCUCUGGCAAGCCAGCACCAGCGCAGCACACUGAAACGCCAUUUACCUUCCCGCUAUAAAGCGGUACCUAUUUAUCUACUUGCACUUAGGGGUGCUUUCGAACUGCUAGGUGGGCAGGAGCUGGGACCGAAAGACGGGAGCUCACCCCGCCGUGGGGAUUCGAACCGCCGACCAUACGAUCGGCAAGUCCUAGGCACUGAGGUUUUACCCACAGCGCCACCCGCGUCCCUAACCUAGUUUAGAUUGGGGCAUUUCCCAAACCUACUUGGAGUCGCCAGGGAUUGAACCCAAGACCUUCUAUUUUCAAAAACAUGUUCACCUGAGCAUCUGAGAUCAAUGUGACAGGCAAUGCAGAGGUGGCAUUCCUUUCAUUCUGUUUAUUUUAAUUUUUGGUAAAUAGAUGGAGCACUUUUUCAUAUUCCAGUUAUUUGACACAAAGCUAAAAGACUGCACCAGUAUAUAAAAUUAAAUAUAUCCAUGACCACUAGUUACUCUGUCAUCUUAUUGACUGGCACAAAGUAAAGAGAGAAUGGAAAAGCCAUUAACUUAAUAUAUUAAGCAGUUUAGCAACCAUUUUAUCUGUGGAAAGUUUCGUUGCCUGUAAAGGAACCUGAAAUGAUUGUGAAACUAGACAAUUCUUAGUAGUCCUCCAAGGAUCAAGCUGCCAGAAAUUCCUAUCUUUUGCUAAACUCUCUUAACUUCAUUAUUUGUGAUGAGCUGGAAAGAAAUAUGACCAGUCGUUUUCAGAUAUUGGGUGUGUGUGUGUAGUUUUAUAGGUAUAAAAAUUUAAUACAUCAAGAUAGGAUGGUGACGUAUUCUGAGAUUUAGAAAGAAUUAAAUGAAAUUUACUUGGUUUUAGUAGUUUAGGUACCAUUAAGCAGAUACUUAAACAUUAAGUGCUGAUUAAGUGAGCUGACAGGUUAAUAACAAAGACUAAGGACUGUCUAUUAUCAAAUAUUUGUAAACCGCUUUUACAAUAUGAUUCAGGACUGAAACAGAUAAAGGACAACUAUGCACAAGAUAUAGGCAGAAUUAUCCCUGUUAAGUUGUGGGUGAACAUAUCAGACGACACAGCGAUUCUUCAAACAGCUCUUGUUUAUUCACAGGCCAGAACAGAACAGAACUGAACUGAAGGGUUCAGCCAGCCUGCUUAUAUAGAGCUCCACUAGAAUGCAACAGUAACAAUUUUCUGUAACUAGCCAAUCACUGAACGUCACUUUCAAUUCCUUAUUUGCAUAUGUGGACCUGAGUGAAAACUAUCUACAGUAUCCCCCUGCUGGCCCAGGGUGAGAACUUCAGUACAUAACAAUCCCAAUGGAUAUCUAGGAGACUAUAUGGGACAUGAUGCGUAGAUUUUCUUUAAAUUUCAUGUUAAGAGGAGAUUGCUACACAGUAGUGUUGAAAUAGUAACUCUCACUCGUAAUAAUAAAGUAAAUAUUUUAUUUCCAUAUGUUGGAAAGAAAUGGACAUGCAAGAUUAUCACAUUACUACUUACUCUCACAUUACUAAUUACUCUCAGCACCCUUAACAAUCUACAGUUCCCAUAAUUCUUUGGAGCAGCAUGGAGAUGGGACCAGCAGGGGCUACAAUGGCAGGGGUGGGGCCAGAGUACAUGACCCUACUCUCUCUUCUCAAAAAGAAACACCCAAGUAGGUCUUAAUUUAGGCUGCAAUCUGUGAACACAGACCUGGGGAGUAAGUCCCAUUGUACACAGUGGAAAUUGCUUCUGGCAAACAUGCCGAGGAUUGUACUGUUGUUAUGGAUCCAACCCACUGUGUUAACCCUGAGAUCUUCAGUGGAAAUGAUCAGGAUUUCCUCUACAUAUAGUCUUCUACACACACACCAAACUUGAGUAUGGAUCCUGUUUUCAUAUUGGAUACCUGUAAGUCAACAGAGAAUGCAUGCCCUUAAGGCUAUGGGUUGCAUCCCAUUCUGGUCCUACUCAGAGAAGACCUGUUGAAAUUAUAGAUAUAGCUAAUUUAGGUUCAUUAAUUUCAGUGGAUCUCCCUCAAGUGGGACUAGCUUUGGAUACAAUCCAAAGUGCUCCUGGAGCUUCCAAAGGUUAGAAUUUGUCAUUCUGCUUGGACUUGACCCUGAAGGUCCUCUCUCUGGGACCAUGACAAUGUCAAGUUCCCAUGCUUGGUACCACAGAACACAAAACAGACACUUAAUAUAAUAUGACACCUAUGUUCCUACUUUAGCAGCUGAGAUACAAUUCCAAAUGAAUGGAGUGCAGCUGCUGAUAAACACACAGUCUGCACACUGCAGACACCUCAUCUUGAGAACCUCUGGAAAUAAUCAAGAAACCUGAAGUACUCCAUGCCUUUAUAUCAAAACGGCAAAGGCUUAGCGUUACUGACAGCCAUCUACUAAAGGUGCCUACAUAAUUUCUGUGGCUCAAAUAGCUGAGACAGGUCUGUCUGAGCAGAUUUGGCUGAGGGUUACGACUGCGACUCGGAACUAAUGUGUAUGGAUGAGGGAAGAGUCAAACAUGAAAUCAUUCUGAUCAAAGGGAGAUUUCUUCAAGGGAAGGUCAGUCUGCCCCCCCCCAAAAAAAAGAACAAAAAAAACCACCAAAAUGAGGAUUGAAAACAGGCUCCUUUGCAGACAUGGAUUCUUUCGUGCACCACAUUUCUCAGGAACAUCUAAUCUACAUAAAACCAUAAAAAGAAACUCACUGGUUCAGUUUCAUAUCUCGUAUUGUAUUCUGUAUGUAUACUGGUAGCCAAUCAGAUGCUUCUGGGAUGCUGACAAGCAGAGUGUCAAGAAAACAGCCCUCCUGGUGUUUCUCCCAUCAUCUGGUACUCACAGCUGUGCUGCUUUUGGACAGGGACAUUGGUGGCUUUGGUACACACUGGGGGGAAGCCAUAGCUCAGUAGGAGAGCAUAUGCUUUGCAUUCAGAAGGUCCCAGGUUUAAUCCCCAGCAGCUCCUGGGAGGGCUGGGAAAGGCUCUGGUCUGAAACUCCAGGGAACUGCCUCUGGUCUGCGUAGACCAGGUUUCCCUAACCAAGCGCUCUCCAUAUGUUAUUGGACUACAACUCCCACCAUCCCUGACCACUGCCCAGGCUGACUGGGGCUGCUGGGAACUGGAGGCCAUUAAGUGAGGGCAGCCUACUGUAAACACAACUGAGAUAGAUAGAGUAAUGGCCGGGCUUGAUAUAAGGCGAGUUCUGAUGGGCUGUAUCAAACACUACAGAUUCAGAAGCUGAGCUUGUACAAUGCGUUUUCCCCUCUCUUGAAGUCUCCCCACGUCACAGCUCUCUCUAGGGAUUUGGGAGGCCUAUUCAAUAUUGGUGCAAAUUUCCUGCACUAAAUUUUGGGUGUUCCCCACUUCACCCAUUGCAGCUCUGGGUGGCACAGCCCAGAGUGCCUCUAACCCUAUGAAGAGCCUUUUUAGGGGCUGCAAGGGGGAAGGGGGAAGGGGAAGAUCUGUUGGGCUAUUUGCCUUCUACUCAUGCAAUGUUUUUCUUGGGAGAAAAGCAAUGACAAACCUAGACAGCAUCUUAAAAAGCAGAGACAUCACCUUGUCAACAAAGGUCCGUGUAGUUAAAGUUAUGGUUUUCCCAGUAGUGAUGUAUGGAAGUGAGAACUGGACCAUAAAGAAGGCUGAUUGCCGAAGAAUUGAUGCUUUUGAAUUAUGGUGCUGGAGGACACUCCUGAGAGUCCCGUGGACUGCAAGAAGAUCAAACCUAUCCAUUCUUAAGGAAAUCAGCCCUGAGUGCUCACUGGAAGGACAGACCUGAAGCUGAGGCUCCAGUACUUUGGCCACCUCAUGAGAAGAGAAGACUCCCUGGAAAAUACCCUGAUGUUGGGAAAGAUGGAGGGCACAAGGAGAAGGGGACGACAGAGGAUGAGAUGGUUGGACAGUGUUCUUGAAGCUACCAGCAUGAGUUUGACCAAACUGCGGGAGGCGGUGGAGGACAGGAGUGCCUGGCAUGCUCUGGUCCAUGGGGUCACGAAGAGUCGGACAUGACUAAAUGACUAAACAACAACAACAUGCAAUGUUGGAUGCCACUGAACAUUGCACUUCACAGAAACACAAAAGCACUUCUCUGAAUUCUGCAGUGCACUUCUCCAGCCAAGUAAUCUGUACAAAAGUGCAUAUGCUAGUGUGCAUUAAAGUGUGCAUUAAAAGGCACAUUUUGUUGGAAAUAUAUUAUAUUGAGAGAAAUUGCUUUGCAAUAAUGUGCACAUUGGGAGAAAAUUGCACAAAAAUGAUGAUGAAUUCUCAUGUGGACUUAAAAAUAAAUAAAAUCACAAUCUGAUAUAGAAACCUGGAGAAUGGAAUUUAAGACCAGAAAAGUGAGAAGUGGAAAGAAACUGAAAUGGAUAUACGCAUCCAUGCCAAAAAACUUUGCUCCACCCAAGGGAGUAGCAAGGGGGUGCAGUAGGUGCAGUUCGCCCUGGGUGUCCCCACUGAGGGGGGUGACAAAAUGGUGGGUGGCACUCAUUGCGGGGCCUGCAGCGUGCCCAAGCCACACAUCUCUCCUGGGAGUGACACAGUGACUUGAGCAACUGCAGGCUCCUCGCUUGCCCCAAACAGUCUGCCUACUGCCUCCCCCUCAGCUGUAGGGCAGCUGAGUGGGAGGGGGGAGGCAGACUCCUCGGAGGCCCCACGGUGCCCCCAUGGGUGGCUGCCCCAGGUGCCCAAUCGGCUUGCUCUGACUCUGGUUCCACCCACUUUUGCCUCUGGCCCUGCACACCACUGAAAUGUGGCCCCUGGGAGUGUUGGUUGCCCAUGAUGGAAUGCAGCCCUUGGUCUGCAAAAAGGUUCCCCAUCACCACCAUAGAGGAAAAUUGAUCAUGAGGCUGCAGCCAGUGUAAAACUGGGCUGGUAUCAAAGUCCAGCAGCCCAAUGGAUCUGCUUGGAUUACAGGUGAAACUGUUUUAACCCUAAAGCACCGUUCCUUCUGCCUCGAGAGAUAAAUGGUGUUGUUCAUGCUUAAUGGAGAGCACGGCGAGUUUCCUAGGGCAUUGCGAGCGCUGCGUGAUUAGUAUAACAAAUGUUGCAUUUCAGACAUAUACACAAUGGGCAAAGGAUAAUCUUUGGGUGCACUGCAGGAAGAUAGCAACGAGCGGAUAUAGCAUGAUAGGAAACGGCAUGUCUGUGAAACAGUUCAUUUGUCUCCGUCCAUACAAAGGACUAGGGAUAUGUGGCCUGCGUACGUCAGGGAUCACUCGCCCACAGAUGACAACCCAGAUAAGAACUGCAGUGGCGAUAAAAACAUAAAAUGAGUUUAUGUAGACAAAGCCCGAGGCCCAGAUAAUGUGCAUCCACGGAGCUGUGACGGCUUAGACAGUGAGGAACCUUUUAAUGGCAUUUUUAAAAGUGCACUAGAUUUGAGGGAAGAGGUCCCAAAGAUUACAGAGCAGCAAGAUUGAUUCGAAUACAUGUUAACGGGCCUCGAGGCAGGAAACUAUAAACUAGCAAAUGUAACAUUGUUUGCAAAGAAACCUGGAAACUAUUUAAAGUGGUUUGUCCGAAGGAAGAACACCUGGAGAGUAAGCAGUUUAAUAUAUAUAACUUGUGGGUUUUUCUUUUUAAAAAUAAAAAAGUUGCUCCUCUUGUGGGCAAAUUCUUGUCUUGGACAUUUAAAGCUUAACAGUAUACCGAUAUGCUACAGUUAAUUGUGGAAAACAGAGGCUUUGCCCAAUGCAAAUUUGUGCACUUUGCUGAACUGUUCAAAAUGUGUUUUCAUCGCCAUGGUGACAGGGGAAGUGUUUAUUUGUGAAUGCACUUCCCAUCUGUACACACAAGGGACUGCAGAUCCAGUAUGAAAAAAUGAGGCCUAAAGGUACUCUGUAGCUCACAUGAAUCCUGGGACACUCACUCACUGGUCAGUGAACAGAGCACUGAAGGAGCAUGUAUUCAUUAUGAAUUCCUUCUUCUGGAACAGAUUUUGCAUCAAUACAUCCUGCACAAAUACAUAUCCCAAUGGAUUUAAUACGGUUUGCCUAUGCACACAUGCAGACACACAAGUAUUCAUGUGUGGCGAAAGGUGACUGUUGAGAUUGGAUUGAGAAAUCCUUGGGCUAUGGGAUUAUGAAAUGGCAAAUAAAAUUAGCAAGGGCAGACGCAAUGAUACAAAUUCCUCAGUCGUAUUUGGGCCUUCUGAAUGGGACUCAAGAAAACAUGCAAACAGGGCAGAGUGUACCUAGCCUCACUGCCUCCACCUCAUUAUCAGCAGUGUGGGUUCAAGGGUGAUGUUAGCAGCAGGGAAGCCUCUUCCCUUCUGCUGUGUUUGUUUAAACUUGAUUCAGACCACCAGAGAAAGGCACAUUAGAGAGAGAGAGAGAGAGAGAAUCAUUGAGGAAGGACAGAGCAAGGACUUCUAUCCACCCCCAGGGGUGCCAACUCCAGGGGACCCUGUCUCCUGUAAGGCUUUCCAACAGAGGAUUGCUCUAUGGCACAAAGUACCUUGCUUUUAUUUAUGUGAAUUCCAUCUAACACCAUUUGCCAGUGUGGUGUAGUGGUUAAGAUUAGUAAUCUGGUGAACUGGGUUCGCGUCUCCGCUCCUCCACAUGCAGCUGCUGGGUGACCUUGGGCCAGUCACACUUCUUGAAGUCUCUCAGCCCCACUCACCUCACAGAGUGUUUGUUGUGGCGGAGGAAGGGAAAGGAGAAGGUUAGCCGCUUUGAAACUCCUUCGGGUAGUGAUAAAGCGGGAUAUCAAAUACAAACUCUUCUUCUCUUCUUCUGCUCCACAUUUCCUGCCUGUCUAAGUAGAGGUCCUGUUUCACUCAGAUUUUCCCCUAAGUCUUGCAGGGCUUUCCUCUCCCUUGAUCCUCGCAGGCUCCCUCCCCAGCCUGCUCAGAUCCUUAUUAAGGCUCCUCAGCUCUCCUGACGCUGUUCGCUCCAUCUUCUUUGCCAACACAGCCCAGGGCUGGCUGCCCUGUGGCUUCAGCAUCAGCAGGUGGUGGCUGGAUGCCAUAGGGCAAGGGAGCAAGAUCAAAGGGAGGUCAAUCCCUGACCGUACAUUGCAGAUAACAUCUGAAGUCAGCAGCUCCCUCUCUGAAGGAUGUCAUGUUGGAAGAGCAAAGAGCGCUAUAUGAGUUCUGGAUCCUUCUCGCCUUUCACCAGUCUGGAUGCCAGAGGCUGGACGCCAACAAAGAAAGAAAGAAACACACCGUUUUCUUAUGGAAAUAUAUUACCCAGGAGGACUGAAACCAAACUGGUAAAACACUUACAGUAGUAUUACUAAAACAUCGCUGCAUUGUCAUUAGCUCAGCAAUGCAUUUCCAGAAGGACUCUUUUAAUGGAGUAAAAGGAAUUGUCCAAAUAUUUAGGGGCAGCUAUAGACUUGCAGGGGGAGGGCCUUUUUCAGCAUGAAAGCUGCAUUUCCUUCUGGAUUACAUUCUUGGGGGGGCACAUGCAAAUCCUGGGGAGUGUGAGAGGCAAGCAUAGACACAGCAGCAAAUGAGAUUUUUCCCUUUUUACAGUAGGAUAGUUUCUUCUCUCUCCCCCCCCCCCACCCCACCCACCCAGGCCUCAUUUGAUCUCCAAGAUUCCCCAUACCUGUUAUAGACAGCCACAUAUGAUGCAGAACAUUCACAGCUUUCAGGGUAUUUUCACAUACCCCACAAGUGUCCUGGAAAAACCAGGGUAUCCCAUUCCACCUGCCCCGCCCCCCACCAAGAACGCGGCAGCCCUUUUGCCCGAUUUUGUGCUGAAAUCUCUCCCCCUCCCCCAAGUGCUUUUUUCUGGGCUUGUGAUCUUACGUGGCUCCCCAAAACACACAUUUUUAGAUGACAUGAGAUCAUGCCCCCCCCCCAAUUCAUCUUUUGGGCUCUGUGGUCUCACACAGGUCACAUGACUUGUGCAGGAGCACAGACAGGAAAACGCAUGUCCCAGUUUUGGGACUCAACAUGUUGGAGGGUUUGUUUCCAUAGCAUUUAUUUCUAAAUUGAUUUUGCAAAUAGCUGCACUAAUUCUUCCAAGUGUCUUUCUGGCAUCAGUUCCAGGCCUUAACCUUUGAAGGCCUCAACAGCUUGGAACUGGGGGUGGAAUUCAGCAUCAUACGAUUACAGUUGGUCCAUCAGUGCAAGCAUUUCUGCCUUCCCCCCCUCUUCCCCCCCCCUCAGUGCAUUGUUCUGGGGGUUCUCCUCUCCAGAUCUGGGUGAGGCAUGCAGGGGGAGAAGAGUGGGGAAAGCCCUGUUGCGUUAGUGGGAGUCUUUGUGAUGGCUUCCAUUAGCACACUGGGAUAGAUGCAUCGGGUCCCUGGACACAUGAAAGAACCACGUUCCCCAGCAUGAAUGUCUCCAAAGCCCUAUCAGGAUUCUCCCAGCAAAUGAAAUCAGGUGAUUGGCAGCCAUCUCAGGAACUGAACCUCCAUUUAAGGAAUGCACUUUCCUGACAAUUAAUCAGGAGGCAAAUUUAAGUGAUUUUGUUCACUGAGGCUUUUACCAGUUCUUAGAAUUUGUAAUGGUACACUUUUACUGCUGCCACUAUUUUGAAUGUUGAUGGCAUUGUUUAAAAUUAUCCUAUGCUUUUAAGGUUUGUUUGGGUUUCUUUAGAUCAUCUUACUUAUGGACUUGUACCCCUGCUGCCAUUUGCUUCUGUACUUUUAUUGGCUUUUUUAUUGACGUUUAAUGUUUGAUGUCAGCCACUCAGAAAACUCUGGUUUUUAUGGGGCAGCACAGAAAUGAUGCAGUUGGGUUUGGUUUUUUUUGGGGGGGGGUGUUAAGUGCUGCUAUUUUUCUUCUUCUUGCUGGUCUCGGCUUUUGUACAUUAAUUUGUGCAACUGUCUAUUUUUAUAGACAAUCAAUAUUUUAAAUUAAAAAAUACUAACCAAAUUCUCUACUACAAUUUCCCAUCCCCACAUAAUGGAUAAUAUGACCAGCCUUGCUGUGGGAAUACUGCCCUUGUGGCCACUUACGACUGUACUUAAACAUUUGUACACAUCAGAGCUGGCAGAUAGAACACACAACAACCAGGUGAUCACAUCUCCUCUUACUAAGCCAAGAUAUGCACAAAACCAUUACUCACAUGCACAACCUCUUUGCUUCUCCCUUCACUGCAACCUGCGAUUAAAUCAGGAAGUCUCUAAUGUACUAUAGCUUCCUGUUGCAGCUUAACUAAGAAACUAUGGCUAUCAUCAUUGGAUAUUAAACCAACUUCAAGCAAUUUGUAAUAACCUGACUUGUUCUAAAACUGGCAACCAUAGUUUCUUGCUUCGAAUGAAACAGGAAACUAUGGUUAAUAAAAAGGCUUCCUGGUUUAGUUGUGCUCUCCAGCAAAUGGGGGAGCAAAGGGGUUCUGUGUUUGAACAAAGGGCUACAUCAUAGCCUGAUAUGUUGAUCUAAGUCCAAAUGUAACCAGUCAGUCUGGAACUUCGAAAUCCCUCAAAUGGUGGAACAAUGCAUGGCAAGGGCACAGCUUUGUGGCUUUAGUGUGGGAUAAGUGUUCCAGUGCUGUGAUAGGAUAUUAGGCAAGAGCUAGCUAUUAAAGGUACUCCCCCCCCCACACACAAAGAAAUUAAACCUGCAUCUAUGGAUUCCUUGAACGCAAUGGCUGGUUCACACGUGUAUUUGCAUUGCUUCUUCCUCAGCAUUCGAUGACAGUCAGCUGAAAGUGGCAGUGAGGUCGUAGCCUUGCAUUAAUGAAGGACACAUUAUGAAGUCUUUGUUGCCUGCGGAUAUUAGACUCGC
RNAcentral lists this long non-coding RNA (25834 nucleotides) under Podarcis lilfordi (Lilford's wall lizard). Lineage: Eukaryota; Metazoa; Chordata; Lepidosauria; Squamata; Lacertidae. The record is from RNAcentral.